AUAUCGGGGGUGCACUGGCACAGAGGAAAGGCCAUGUGAAGCAAGAAGGCAGCCAUCUGCAAGCCAAGGAGAGAAAUUUCAGAAGGAACCAACCCUACCGACAUCUUGAUCUUGGACUUUAAGCUGCCAGACCUUUUAUACAUUUUCUACAGAAAAUGCACCCCAUCAUUGCUUAUAGCCCACCCACGUGGACUGCUCAUUCUGUGAAUCAUGUUUUACAGAAAUUGCCUUGAUGUUAGGAAUUAAAAAAACAAAACAAAACAAAAAACAUGGAGCCGUAUUCUCCAGAAGCUUACAUCUGAUUUAACGAGACAGCAAUAGGAAGCCAAAGGGUCCCUGCAGAGGAGGGUUGCAGCACGAUAACUCUACAGCUGGACAGAGACAGAUUGCAGGGGAGCAAGAAUGAAUGGCAGGCCAGCUGCCAGAAGCUUCUCACUCCGUGGAGACCUUGGAGUCGAGGAUGAAAUGUCUUACAACUGUGGGGAGACCUUGGCUUUUCCAAAGCCUACCAGGGUCCAGGACUUGGAAGCUAAGGCCCAGAGAGGAGGAGAAACUUGAUCAAAGUCAAUCAGACAAUGCAGAAUCGAGAAAAGUACCUGGACCUCUAUGCCCAUGCUUCUAGCAGCCAGCCUCCUAAAAUACCUCUAGUUGAAGCCAAAGUUAGAAUCCUUCUACGAAACUACAGGAUUAAAAUGGAAUGGUUACAUGACCCAGGCUUGACCAAUCAGAUCAUCCAAACCCUUUGCCACAGUGAUUGGUCCAGGGAUACAUGCAUGAGCCAGCUCAGGCUGGACUUUGGCUUGGGAUAAAAGGUAUUAAAAAAAAAAAAAAAAGAAAGAAAGAAAGGAAGAAAUCAUGCGUAAGCAUGCAAAGAGGAACACAGCCAAGGGAAUGGAAUGCAGUGCCUGACCUGGAGCUCUCUGGCUUCUUUCAGUGAGAAGUGCCAUCCUUCUCUUCAGUUACAACUCCCUUCUGACAUGUGACUUAUUGCUUUUAUACAGAAUAGAUUGUCAUAAGUGGUGGAUUGGACAGGACUUGCUUUGGCUUAGGAGACAUAUUAUAUCCAUGCAAAAAAAAUUUUCACUGAACUAUGGAUCCCUUAAUUGCUUUAGCUAUAGAAUGAGCA
This 1126-nucleotide long non-coding RNA is filed under the name Homo sapiens (human). RNAcentral describes it as "PREDICTED lncRNA (TCONS_00265617)". Lineage: Eukaryota; Metazoa; Chordata; Mammalia; Primates; Hominidae. The record is from RNAcentral.